RNAcentral lists this ribosomal RNA (257 nucleotides) under uncultured bacterium. RNAcentral's name for it is "partial 16S ribosomal RNA". It matches the Rfam family "Bacterial small subunit ribosomal RNA", at positions 524 to 777 of the family's 1533-position model. The record is from RNAcentral.
CACGUAGGGUGCGAGCGUUGUCCGGAAUUAUUGGGCGUAAAGAGCUCGUAGGCGGUGUGUCGCGUCGGCCGUGAAAACCUGCAGCUUAACUGUGGGCUUGCGGUCGAUACGGGCAUCACUGGAGUUCGGCAGGGGAGACUGGAAUUCCUGGUGUAGCGGUGAAAUGCGCAGAUAUCAGGAGGAACACCGGUGGCGAAGGCGGGGAUCUCUGGGCCGAUACUGACGCUGAGGAGCGAAAGCGUGGGGAGCGAACAGGG